GGCUUUAUAGUCAUUUUAAUGAUAUUAGACUGCAAUUCUAAAGGAGUAACGAUUUACUAAGGCUU
This 65-nucleotide transfer RNA is filed under the name Hercostomus brevipilosus. RNAcentral's name for it is "tRNA-Cys". Lineage: Eukaryota; Metazoa; Arthropoda; Insecta; Diptera; Dolichopodidae. The record is from RNAcentral.